Molecule: long non-coding RNA, 331 nt
Organism: Cucurbita maxima (winter squash)
Lineage: Eukaryota; Viridiplantae; Streptophyta; Magnoliopsida; Cucurbitales; Cucurbitaceae
Exons: 3
Source: RefSeq, a predicted model, not a curated record
AUACACAGUUUACAUACCCCGCUCAACAUUCUUGUAAAACAAUCGAAUCUAGGGUCCGGAGGCAAAUUAGCCAUUCAAUCUUGUAAACUAAUCGAGACCGCAAUUGGAAAAAGAGAGACGAACGGGGAGGAAUAACCAAUCGAUGAAGGAACAUGAAACCAUUCUGUUUCAAUAAAGGUACAAGAAAGGGUUGGGGGCAAUGAAGUAGGUGAAGUGAUGAAUACUAAGGAGGCUUUGAUGGUAGCUAAUUGAAGACCGAGACAAUCUGAGCAUCUGGCGAAUCCAAUCCGUACAACAGGUAGUUGACAAAGAAGUUCUUAUUCGAAAGUCC